Molecule: long non-coding RNA, 380 nt
Organism: Mustela erminea (ermine)
Lineage: Eukaryota; Metazoa; Chordata; Mammalia; Carnivora; Mustelidae
Exons: 4
Source: RefSeq, a predicted model, not a curated record
UUUGAAAACUUAUUCCCCAUUGGUGCCAGUGUGGUCUCUGCCGGUAAAACAUGACAAAGGAUUAGGAGGUCAUGAGAAGACAAGACUGCCACUUGGGCUGGGAGUUGGACCUGGACAGUCAAGAGGAUCCUCAUUCCCAUCUCAGUCUCUGAUUUUCAGAUAAUCCAGUUGCCCACUUUACUCCUGCUCCUACUGCUGCACCAUACCCUUGUUUGGGUACUGACUUAUAGGAAAACUGAGAAAAGUUUGUUUGUUUCAAGCACUAAGAUCCUUGGACCUGCAUCUGAGGGAGGUAAGAACGAUGCUGAUUAUUUUGUCAGAUCCUCUCUGUGGAGACACUCAGGCUAACUGUAGGUAUCACCUCAAGAAGUUUACUGAAG